CAGCCGUAAACAAUGCGCGUUAGGUGUGUCGGUAACCACGUGUUACUGAUGCGCCGAAGAGAAAUCGUGAAACGCACCACCUGGGAAGUACGGUCGCAAGGCUGAAACUUAAAGGAAUUGGCGGGGGAGCACCACAACAGGUGGAGCCUGCGGUUUAAUUGGAUUCAACGCCGGACAUCUCACCGGAUAAGACAGCUGAAUGAUUGUCAAUCUGAAGGUUUUACAUGACUAGCUGAGAGGAGGUGCAUGGCGUCAGUGACU
Molecule: ribosomal RNA, 261 nt
Filed under: uncultured archaeon
Lineage: Archaea
Description: partial 16S ribosomal RNA
Rfam family: Archaeal small subunit ribosomal RNA
Source: RNAcentral